RNAcentral lists this unclassified non-coding RNA (3719 nucleotides) under Hevea brasiliensis (rubber tree). The record is from RNAcentral. Lineage: Eukaryota; Viridiplantae; Streptophyta; Magnoliopsida; Malpighiales; Euphorbiaceae.
CUUAAAACCUCAAGGAACUUCAUAGCAGCAGCAAAGCAAAGGAAAGAGCAACAAUGGUGAAGGCGUACCUGAGGUACGAGCCGGCGGUGUCGUUUGGUGUAAUAGCAUCGAUAGAUUCGAAUAUCGCAUACGACACCUCCGGGAAGCACCUUCUAGCUGCGGCUCUCGAGAAGGUCGGAGUUUGGCAUGUGCGCCAAGGCAUCUGCACAAAAACCCUAGUUCCUUCUACGUCCUCUCGCAGUGGUCCCUCCCUCGCUGUCACCUCUAUUGCAUCUUCUCCUUCGUCUCUGGUUGCGAGUGGGUAUGCCGAUGGUAGUAUAAGAAUUUGGGAUGGUGACAAAGGAACCUGUGAGACCACAUUGAAUGGACACAAAGGGGCCAUCACUGUUCUAAGGUACAACAAGUCUGGCUCAUUGCUUGCAUCUGGAAGUAAAGAUAAUGAUAUCAUACUAUGGGAUGUGGUUGGUGAGACUGGCCUUUUUCGCCUCCGAGGGCAUCGAGACCAGGUCACUGAUCUUGUUUUCUUGGAGUCUGGGAAAAAACUUGUCAGUUCCUCCAAAGACAAAUUUUUGAGAGUUUGGGAUCUUGAGACGCAGUACUGUAUGCAAAUAAUUAGUGGCCAUCACAGUGAAAUUUGGUCAAUUGAUAUUGAUCCAGAGGAAAGAUAUUUGGUAACUGGUUCUGCAGAUCCAGAACUUCGAUUUUACUUGCUUAAGCAUGAAUUGGUGGAUGGGCAACGCUUAUUGAAUGAAAAUAGAGUUGAAAUUAUGAACGGUGGAGAUUCGUCUACUCAAAAUAAAUGGGAAGUUUUGAAGCUGUUUGGUGAAGUUCAGAGACAGAAUAAGGAUAGAGUUGCAACCGUGAGAUUCAACAAGUCAGGAAAUUUGCUGGCUUGUCAAGUGGCAGGAAAAACAGUGGACAUAUUCCGUGUACUGGAUGAAAAUGAAGCAAAGCGUAAAGCGAAACGUAGGGUUCAUAGGAAGAAAGAGAAGAAGUCUGCAAAAGGGACAGCCGAGUCAACUGAAAUUAAAGAUGCCAAACUUUUAACUGAAGAAGGAGGGGCCCUUAUGGUUACAGUUCCUGAUGUUUUUAAGCUGCUUCAAACUGUUCGCGCUAGCAAAAAGAUCUGUUCCAUCUCCUUUAAUCCAAUCACUCCUACAAACUCCUUAGCCACUUUAGCAUUGUCUUUGAAUAAUAAUUUAUUGGAAUUUUAUUCUAUCGAAAGCAAUACAGCUACAAAAUCUCUAUCUAUUGAGCUCCAGGGGCACCGUUCUGAUGUCAGAAGCGUUACACUUUGUUCAGAUGAUACUGUUUUGAUGUCCACAAGUCACAAUGCUGUAAAGUUUUGGAAUCCAAGUACUGGUUCUUGUCUUCGAACCAUUGAUUCUGGGUAUGGACUGUGUGGCUUGAUUGUUCCGCAUAACAAGUAUGCUCUUGUUGGAACUAAAGAUGGAAAAAUAGAAAUAAUCGAAAUUGGUAGUGGCACUUGUAUUGAGGUAGUGGAAGCUCAUGGUGGUUCAGUACGGUCUAUUGCUCCCAUUCCAAAUGAAAAUGGUUUUGUCACGGGCAGUGCAGAUCAUGAUGUUAAGUUCUGGGAGUAUCAAGUGAAGCAGAAACCUGGUCAAGAUACUAAGCACCUCACGGUGUCAAAUGUGAGAACUAUGAAGAUGAAUGAUGAUGUUCUAGUGGUUGCGGUUAGCCCUGAUGCUAAAUAUAUUGCCGUUGCACUUUUGGAUUGCACAGUGAAGGUUUUCUUUGUGGAUACACUUAAAUUUUUCCUUUCAUUAUAUGGUCACAAACUGCCUGUGCUAUGUAUGGAUAUCUCAUCAGAUGGAGAUUUGAUCGUUACUGGUUCGGCAGAUAAAAAUUUAAAAAUUUGGGGUUUGGAUUUUGGUGACUGCCAUAAAUCCCUUUUUGCCCAUGCUGAUAGUGUUAUGGCAGUACAAUUUGUGCGCAAUACACAUUACAUGUUCAGUGUUGGGAAAGAUCGCCUUGUAAAAUACUGGGAUGCUGAUAAGUUUGAACUGCUUUUAACUCUUGAGGGACAUCAUGCAGAUGUUUGGUGUCUUGCAAUCAGCAACCGUGGUGAUUUUGUUGUCACAGGGUCUCAUGACCGAUCCAUACGUCGCUGGGAUCGGACGGAAGAACCAUUUUUCAUUGAAGAAGAGAAGGAAAAAAGAUUGGAAGAAAUGUUUGAGGCUGACCUUGACAAUGCAUUUGAAAACAGAUAUGCACUCAAGGACGAACUCCCAGAGGAGGGAGCUGUGGCCUUGGCAGGAAAGAGAACUCAAGAAACCCUUACAGCAACUGACUUGAUUAUUGAUGCAUUAGAUGCAGCAGAGGUGGAACUGAAGCGCAUUGCUGAGCAUGAGGAGGAGAAAACCAGGGGAAGAGUUACUGAGUUCCAACCAAACCCUAUUUUGCAUGGGCUUGCAGCAUCUGAUUAUGUUCUUCGUGCAAUUUCAAAUGUUCAGACCAAUGAUCUGGAGCAGACAUUACUGGCUUUACCAUUCUCGGAUGCUCUGAAGCUGCUCUCAUACUUGAAGGAUUGGGCCUCAAAUCCUGAUAAGGUUGGCAGUCGCAAGCAUUUGAAUGAACAAAAUUGUGUAUUCAUCAUGUGCUAGCAUUUAUUAAAUAACAUUAGAAGUUGUUACCUGUUUUGUUUCUAUGUUGUGCUAAUCAUCUCCAUAUAGACAUUGGUUUCUCCACCUACUUUAAACCAUUCAUGGCUUGCACAUGAUAGAAUAAGUUUCUAUGUCAACAUCAAAUUAUUUAGUUGUUAAGUUAUUACUUGCUUUUGGGAAAAAAAAAGUUAUUACUUGCUUUGCAUUCCAGGUUGAGCUUGUUUGCAGGGUUGCUACCGUGCUAUUGCAGACACAUCAUAAUCAGUUAGUUACCACCCCAGCUGCAAGACCUGUGUUGACUGUUCUCAAGGACAUUCUUUAUGCAAGAGUCAAGGUAUUUGUACGGUUCAGCCUUAUUUAGUAUAUAGGUUCAGCCUUAUUGAGUAUACAUUUCAUCAAGUUAGGUGAAAAUCCAAUUCAACAUUGGUCCUGUCAUAACAUAUGCCUGAUUUGUGCGUAGUAUAUUCUCUGCAAUGAUGCAUUUUACUUCAUAUCAUGUUAUAUUAAGUGGAGCAUGAGAAAUUUGAGAGUCUACAUUGACAAGAUGAUAUUUGGGCCUCCCAGGAGUGCAAGGAUACACUUGGAUUCAAUCUUGCAGCAAUGGAUCAUCUGAAGCAAUUGAUGGCUUCUAGAUCAGAUGCACUCUUUAAAGAUGCGAAAACAAAAUUGCAAGAAAUCCGUUUGCAGCAGUUUAAACGGUUGGAAGCAAGGACAGAUACAAAAGAGGAGAAAAGGAAAAUGAAAAAACAGAAGAAAUCAAGUGACGUACAUGCUUGGACAUGACUAAUUAAGCAAGAGAGGAAAUGCAAUAGAUAAUCAGUAAAAUCACCGGUUAUACACUAUGAAAGCCAUAAUCACAGUCCACAAGUCGAAGAAAUUGUUUUGCUAGAGAAGUAAAUAGCAUGCAGAUGUGGACUGAAGUUGGCAGUUUUGGGACAUUAUUUAAGUAUUCAUCUCAUUCUAAAUGUAAAAUAUUUAGUGAUGGUUUGACCCAAAGGAAUUUCAGUUUCCCAUGAAAUGUUGAAUGUGAGUGAUAGUGAUGAUGUUUAUGUGAGCAUAUCAUGAAAUGAGCAUUCUUGUUGAAUUGAAAUUUGG